Molecule: small RNA, 242 nt
Filed under: Pan troglodytes (chimpanzee)
Lineage: Eukaryota; Metazoa; Chordata; Mammalia; Primates; Hominidae
Description: processed transcript
Source: RNAcentral
AUUAUUAUCUGCUUCAUGUUUACAGAAUACUCUGUUGAAUUUGGUUUGCCAGAUUUUGUCAAGCAUUUUUCCAUCUACAUUCAUAAGAAAUACUGAAUUCUCAAUCACAAUCCUCUGACAACUGUUGAAGAUCCGUAUCUCUUUAAAUUGCCAGCAUUAAAAUAUCUAGACAUGGGAACAACGCUAGUCCCACUUACAACACUUAAGAACAUUCUCAUGAUGACUGUUGAACUGGAAAAACU